This 432-nucleotide ribosomal RNA is filed under the name uncultured bacterium. RNAcentral's name for it is "partial 16S ribosomal RNA". It matches the Rfam family "Bacterial small subunit ribosomal RNA", at positions 29 to 507 of the family's 1533-position model. The record is from RNAcentral.
ACGCACGCUGGCGGCAUGCCUAACCCAUGCCAGUCGAACGAGACCUUCGGGUCUAGUGGCGCACGGGUGCGUAACGCGUGGGAACCUGCCCUUAGGUUCGGAAUAACUCCCCGAAAGGGGUGCUAAUACCGGAUAAUGUCUUCGGACCAAAGAUUUAUCGCCUUUGGAUGGGCCCGCGUUGGAUUAGCUAGUUGGUAGGGUAAAAGCCUACCAAGGCGACGAUCCAUAGCUGGUCUGAGAGGAUGAUCAGCCACACUGGGACUGAGACACGGCCCAGACUCCUACGGGAGGCAGCAGUGGGGAAUAUUGGACAAUGGGCGAAAGCCUGAUCCAGCAAUGCCGCGUGAGUGAUGAAGGCCUUAGGGUUGUAAAGCUCUUUUACCCGGGAUGAUAAUGACAGUACCGGGAGAAUAAGCUCCGGCUAACUCCGUG